Molecule: ribosomal RNA, 209 nt
Filed under: Salmonella enterica subsp. enterica serovar Infantis
Lineage: Bacteria; Pseudomonadati; Pseudomonadota; Gammaproteobacteria; Enterobacterales; Enterobacteriaceae
Description: partial 16S ribosomal RNA
Source: RNAcentral
CUAGUAAUCGUGGAUCAGAAUGCCACGGUGAAUACGUUCCCGGGCCUUGUACACACCGCCCGUCACACCAUGGGAGUGGGUUGCAAAAGAAGUAGGUAGCUUAACCUUCGGGAGGGCGCUUACCACUUUGUGAUUCAUGACUGGGGUGAAGUCGUAACAAGGUAACCGUAGGGGAACCUGCGGUUGGAUCACCUCCUUACCUKAAAGAA